Molecule: ribosomal RNA, 253 nt
Filed under: uncultured bacterium
Lineage: Bacteria
Description: partial 16S ribosomal RNA
Rfam family: Bacterial small subunit ribosomal RNA
Source: RNAcentral
UACGAAGGGGGCUAGCGUUGCUCGGAAUCACUGGGCGUAAAGGGUGCGUAGGUGGGUUUUUAAGUCAGGGGUGAAAUCCUGGAGCUCAACUCCAGAACUGCCUUUGAUACUGAAGAUCUUGAGUCCGGGAGAGGUGAGUGGAACUGCGAGUGUAGAGGUGAAAUUCGUAGAUACUCGCAAGAACACCAGUGGCGAAGGCGGCUCACUGGCCCGGUACUGACGCUGAGGCACGAAAGCGUGGGGAGCAAACAGG